UAAGGAAUAUUGGUCAAUGGACGAAAGUCUGAACCAGCCAUGCCGCGUGAAGGAUGAAGGCCCUCUGGGUUGUAAACUUCUUUUAUAGGGGACGAAAAAAGGGAAUUCCUUCCCACUUGACGGUACCCUAGGAAUAAGCACCGGCUAACUCCGUGCCAGCAGCCGCGGUAAUACGGAGGGUGCAAGCGUUAUCCGGAUUCACUGGGUUUAAAGGGUGCGUAGGUGGGCAGUUAAGUCAGUGGUGAAAUCUCCGGGCUUAACCCGGAAACUGCCAUUGAUACUAUCUGUCUUGAAUAUCCUGGAGGUGAGCGGAAUAUGUCAUGUAGCGGUGAAAUGCUUAGAUAUGACAUAGAACACCGAUUGCGAAGGCAGCUCGCUACGGGAUUAUUGACACUGAGGC
Molecule: ribosomal RNA, 400 nt
Filed under: uncultured bacterium
Lineage: Bacteria
Description: bacterial SSU rRNA
Rfam family: Bacterial small subunit ribosomal RNA
Source: RNAcentral